RNAcentral lists this ribosomal RNA (638 nucleotides) under uncultured fungus. RNAcentral describes it as "eukaryotic LSU rRNA". The stretch from base 167 to 320 matches the Rfam family "5.8S ribosomal RNA". The record is from RNAcentral. Lineage: Eukaryota; Fungi.
CUGUCGCUGAUCUUCAAAGGUCGUGCACGCCCGAGUGCUUUCACACAAUCCAUCUAACCCCUUUGUGCAUCACCGCGUGGGUCCCCCUUUGCGGGAGGGCUUGCGUUUUCACAUAAAACUUGAUACAGUGUAGAAUGUCCUUUUGCGCUCACACGCAAAUCAAUACAACUUUCAACAACGGAUCUCUUGGCUCUCGCAUCGAUGAAGAACGCAGCGAAAUGCGAUACGUAAUGUGAAUUGCAGAAUUCAGUGAAUCAUCGAAUCUUUGAACGCACCUUGCGCCCCUUGGCAUUCCGAGGGGCACACCCGUUUGAGUGUCGUGAAAUAUUCAAAAACUCUUUUCUUGUUGAGAAAGGGAUUUUUGGACUUGGAGGUUUCAAUGCUUGCAUUCAUUUUUGAAAGUGAGCUCCUCUCAAAUCAAUUAGUGGGAUCCGCUUUGCUGAUCUUUAACGUGAUAAGAUGUUUCUACGUUUUGGAUUUGGCACUGUCCCUUUGGAUGCCUGCUCCUAACUGUCCUAUGGACAAUGAUGGUGCUUCGGUCACCGCCAUCUACAUUGGCGGGGGAGGCUGGACCCACAAAGCAAACCUUGACCUCAAAUCGGGUGAGACUACCCGCUGAACUUAAGCAUAUCAAUAAG